RNA transcript from Toxorhynchites rutilus septentrionalis, 4967 nucleotides. It is a transcript of the gene named receptor-type tyrosine-protein phosphatase kappa, with no coding region annotated. The transcript is spliced from 19 exons. NCBI's taxonomy places the organism in Eukaryota, Metazoa, Arthropoda, Insecta, Diptera, Culicidae. The record is from RefSeq and is a predicted model, not a curated record.
CUUGUACGCGUUGGACGCAGAAGUAAAAGAAAGAACUAACAGCGUGGAAAAUUUCCGUUCCGCUAGUGUAUCUCGUAACCGCACGUCUCGUCGUCGCCGUCGGGUUGAACUAACCAAGAAGUGUGGAAAGAGGUGUUCACAGGACAUAAAUAACGAAGCCGAGAUUGACUAUUUGCAUAUAGCAGCAUCAGUUGGCCCUCUGAAAGGAGGGAGAAGCAUCCUUUAGUGUAUUCGGUAACGUUUUUGUGAUGUACUAGUUACUAGCUAUUGCGGAUAGUGUUGUUGGCCCCACCCCACGAGAGCGCUCACAGGAAGGAAGAGCAAUUUUUGAAGUACAACGCAAGACGGAGGAAAAGUGGGUAUUUUUUCUGUUGAUUACCACCCAGUAGUCGGUUUUGGUUGCAUAAAAGGAUGUGUCUCGCUAGGAAAGAGUGUGUGUGUGUCCAGACAUAGCUAGUUGAGAGCCGUGGAGUGCCAGUGUCGUUAGGGAAAGGUUCACUUUGUGACGAGGUAUAGUUGCGUACUCGGUGGAGGAUUCCUUCCGGUGAAUACUACCGUUUAAUGCUUACAAGGAACGACACAACUAUGAGUUUUUAUCCCCAUUCACGGUGAAGAUUUCGCGAGAUAGUCACCCGAAUGCGUGUCCCCCCGGGACACAUUCGCACCCGUCAGUGUUUGUGUUGAAGAGUAAAUCCCAGCAUUACCAUCGUAAUCUUCGACUACAUCACGACCCUCACUACAAGUAGCAGCUCAAUGAGUAGAAAUAAUUUUCUAUAAAUAUAUUUCUGCCUGUUUCGACGGAUGCCACUCUGCUGGUUUUGGUCGUGUUUUAACGCUUUUUUCCUGCCGUCGGUGAAAACGGCAAACGCUCAAUGCUCACUCACCCAGCGAGCAAGAGAAUUUUGGUGCUCCCAAGAGUGCGUGAAAACGUCGUGGAAAUUCGCAACCGAGUGACGGCGGGAAGUGAAAAGAGGGUAUAAAACGUGAAGCGUGUUUUCCUUCGCAUGUGAUGUAGAGGAAAAAAGAUCUUCAACCAAAACCAUUAACAAUAAGCAAAGCGGAAAGCCCGUUUUAUUGUCUGUAGCGCUUUCAUUUUUCAAGCCGAGAUUUGCCGUUUUCACGUCCUGCAGAUUUCAUCUGAUUGAGUAAUUGACACGAGGAGGAAUGAAUUAUAAACAAACAAUUUUGAAAAAAAAACCCCACGGAAGUUCGGAAGGAUCACUCCGUUGAAUAGUGUGAAAAAAAUCAGUUAUUAGAAUAAUUGUUACAAGUGUAGUUAAUGUCAAAAUUAAACACAUAGAAAAUAGUAUCAAUAGUGUACGAGGUAUACACUUCGAGAUCGUACGAGCAAAUGAAGCGCAGGAGUGUUUAGAAGCCGGAAAAUCGAAAGUGAAAACUAGUACUCCGAAUACUAGCGCGAACGACACGAUCGUAUCCGGGACAUCACAGCGGCAGUUUUGAGUGACCCUGUGGGUAAUAGCAGCUGUAGUGGUUAACACCGAGACGAAACCCGUGUAGUUGUGUCCUCAUUCGUUCAUAGGAGCAAGCUAUAAAAAUGCCUACGGAGGCAAGUCCCCUCUGAUUGGGACUUCACAGUGGUCCGAGGGUGAAGCUGAAAAAGAAUACUAAUUACAAAAGUGUAAAAGCUGAAGGAUAACCGAAAGGCAAAGUUCCCAGAGCAAACAAGUAAUAAAAAAACAGCGCUCAGCCCCUCGGGAAGAAAGUCAGCGAAAAUGCAAACCUAAAGCGUGAAUGAUGAUAAUCAAAUAUUUGUAAAACGCUGUGAAAAUAUUGCUUGGCAGUUUUUUUUUCUUGCGUCAAAUGUGUUGUGGUGGUCGCUGAGAAAAACAUCAACAACAAACAACCGCGGUCCUCGUUUUCCGAGCUGCAGAGUGUGCGCGUGUGAGAAAAAGUUUUAUUGGUCGCCACGGAGCGAAUAUUGGCUCAAGAAUACUUGACAUCAGUUACCAGCAUCCAAAUCCAGCAUCCAUCGCGCUGAUCCAGGCAGCGUGCGUCGAAACAGCGAAAGGCAGCCUAUCAAAAUAUCGGGACGAACGACGCAACGUCACCCCCGCACCGUUGGCGGAUUGGAGGAUAAACAGACAAAAAAAAGGACGGUGUAAAAAAUAAACGUCCGAAAACAAUUUCAUAAAGUGAACAGAGGACUGCUUUCGGUGUUCGGUCGUGGAAUGUCGUUCGUGUUGAGCAGAGGGAGAACGAAGAGUAGAAUAAGCUUACAGACACCGUCAUUCAGUUGUGCUGGCUUAAAUAAAUAAUCAAGCUGAAAUAGGGCACAGCCGAAUACCGUAAAAGGGUAAAUAAGUGGUUAUAACGGAGAAGAACAACGCUAGUGUUGUAAAUUUUGUAAAAGAGAACGAGUGCCUGAGAAAGGACGCAUCUUUUUUGUGAAUGUACACAAGAGUUCAGAGAUAGGGUGAAGAACGGUAGGGCGAAGGUUCACACCAUUUCAACACCUUCAUUUCGUUUACAUAUCCUUCCUGCUGAAUCAACCGAGUACCGAAAGCCGUAAUGAUAGCAGACUAAGCCAUAGCAUUUGUACAUAUUAUUCCUCGGACGUAUCACCAGCUUUUCGACAUCACCACAAAUACCACACAUCAUUUCAAGACGCACAUUCUUCAAAGGGACAGCCAGAAGCCAGAGGAAUUUCCCCGAGCAGUUCAACAUGUCCCGCUCAACAUCAUCCACCCAGAGGAGGCACAGAUCAAGGUCAACCUCACGCUACGCGGACCUAGAGAAGCCCAAAAAGAAAAAGACACUCAGUUCCACCAGUCUCGUUUCCAUACCAAACACAAUUAAAUUAAGCAUGUUAAAUAGCGGUUUAAUUUCUUUAGAUAAAGUUAAACUAUCAGCCAGAGAUGAGAAAAAUCCGCUCUCGCAGACGAUGCCUGACAAACCGACGGAGCUGCGGCACAUUGUCAAGCUGUGCGAUCAGCGGCGUAAGUUUCCCAUCCUGUACAAGCUCGAAUUCCAGACGGCUGUGAAGGUGGAGACCAACACCUGCAGGCACGCGGUGCGCAAAGCCAAUACCCACAAGAACCAAAAUCCCAAAUGCAUUCCAUACGACUACAACCGGGUCGUGCUCGACAAGUACGAAAACAUCCCAGACUCCGACUACAUCAACGCGUCCUAUGUCGAUAGUUUACUGAAACCCAACGCAUAUAUCGUAACGCAGGGACCAACCGAGGAGACAGUGUUAGACUUUUGGCGGAUGGUGUGGCAGGAAAACUGCAGCGCGAUUGUGAUGCUAACGAAAACUUUUGAUUUUACCAAAGUUAUGUGUGUUCAGUACUGGCCCCCAAACCGGGAAAAAGAGGAAACCUACGGCGACAUUCACAUUAAAGUGCAAUCAGAAGAAGAGCUUGCGAAUUUUCACAUAAGAACGUUUAGGUUAUUUAAAGUGAACAAAGACAACGUAGUUACGGAGGAGCGUUUCCUGCUGCAAUUCCAUUACACCGAAUGGCAUUCACACACCUGCCCUUUCUCCAACGCAAUCCUCGAGUUCCGACGAAGGGUUCGCUCGGUCGUGGGGACAAUCAUCAAGGCGAAUAGUCAAGUUGGACCAAUGCUUGUGCAUUGCAAUGAUGGCGGAGGACGAUCUGGAGUGUACUUGGCAAUCGACGCUAACAUGGAGCUGGCGGAGGAGGAGGACGCGUUCCACGUGUUUGGCUAUCUGAAAAAGUUGCGACAAUCACGAAAGGGCCUUAUUGAAAACGUGGACCAAUACAAGUUCGUAUACGACACGCUGGAAGAGUUUGUGAUCUGUGGCAAUUCGUGGUUCCCGGUGAAGGAGCUCUCGCAACGACUGAAAGAGAAGAGUCUCAAGGAUCCGAUGACGAAAAUGAACGCUUACCAGCGGGAGUACGCACAGAUCUGCAAGCAGACGCCUCGGUUUACCAUCGGUGACUGCGCUGGUGGCCACCGUGGGGAUAACAGGGACAAGAAUCGGGACGUGCUGUGCGUACCACCUGACAAUUUCCGUCCUUACCUUACCUCUUUUCAGGGAAACUCAUUUACCGACUACAUUAACGCUGUAUUUGUAGACGGAUACACCAAACCUAGGGAGUACAUAGUGACGGAGUGGCCCCUACAGAAAACCUGCGGUGAGUUCUGGUCCCUAGUGUACGAUCACGAAUGUUCGGCGAUAGUGGUCCUGUGUCAACCACCUCAAAACUCUCAACAAUAUCCUGCCUUUUGGCCCGAAGGACGGCACCCGAAGAAGUACGGCCCGGUGUUCACGAUCGAUCACAUCUCGCACAACCACUACACCAACAUAAAAUCGUGGGUGUUUCGCAUUAACAAGAAAGUAAUCUCGUUGACUGAGCUGAUGGCCGGCGUGAAGGCACCCCCCAGAACGAUACAGCUUUUUCAGCUGAUAUGCUGGCCUAUGGGACACAAGGUACCAACGUCUACGAACUCGCUGGUGGAGCUGAUGAACAUGGUCGAACGGUGGCGACAGAAAACAGACUAUGGUCCAGUUUGCGUUGUGUCUCCUGAUGGCCGAAGUCGGGCUGGAGUCUACUGCGCGGCAAACGCUUGCAUCGAACAGGUCAUUCAGCACGGCGAGGUGGACGUAUUUCAGGCAGUGAAAACGGUCCGAAGGCACCGGCCCCAGCUGGUGGACAAUAUGACUGAGUAUAAAUACUGCUAUGAUUUAGUUUUACACUACGUUCUACACUACCUAAAUAAAGACUUGAAAGAAAAAAAGUGAGAAUGCGAUUUACACGAUGAUCUGUGGAAACGGUGAAUCGCAUUUUUAUCAUUUUUCCGUUUUUAGACGUUGUUAAUAUUUAUAUUUGAACUUAAUUUGUUUGAUUUUUUGGUUUAUUGAGUUUGGCCGGGGCAAAAGCAUCCCGCUAACCCCCGAGUACUCAAAUUCGGAACUCUCCAAAGAACUAUCGAACGCAGGUCGUGUCAUCGUGGAAAAAUCAAUCAGAAAACUACACAGA